RNAcentral lists this ribosomal RNA (252 nucleotides) under uncultured bacterium. Its description in RNAcentral is "partial 16S ribosomal RNA". It matches the Rfam family "Bacterial small subunit ribosomal RNA", at positions 524 to 776 of the family's 1533-position model. The record is from RNAcentral.
UACGGAGGAUGCGAGCGUUAUCCGGAUUUAUUGGGUUUAAAGGGUGCGUAGGCGGACUGUCAAGUCAGCGGUAAAAUUGAGAGGCUCAACCUCUUCCCGCCGUUGAAACUGGUGGUCUUGAGUGGAUGAGAAGUACGCGGAAUGCGUGGUGUAGCGGUGAAAUGCGUAGAUAUUAGGAGGAACACCAGUGGCGAAGGCGGCUUACUGGACUGUAACUGACGUUGAGGCUCGAAAGCGUGGGGAGCAAACAGG